UACAGAGGUCUCAAGCGUUGUUCGGAUUCAUUGGGCGUAAAGGGUGCGUAGGCGGCGCGGUAAGUCGGGUGUGAAAUCUCGGGGCUUAACUUCGAAACUGCAUUCGAUACUGCCGUGCUUGAGGACUGGAGAGGAGACUGGAAUUUACGGUGUAGCGGUGAAAUGCGUAGAUAUCGUAAGGAAGACCAGUGGCGAAGGCGGGUCUCUGGUCAGUUCCUGACGCUGAGGCACGAAGGCCAGGGGAGCAAACGGG
Molecule: ribosomal RNA, 253 nt
Filed under: uncultured bacterium
Lineage: Bacteria
Description: partial 16S ribosomal RNA
Rfam family: Bacterial small subunit ribosomal RNA
Source: RNAcentral